AAUAAUUCGACUACUUCAAGUGGCACUCUUCACCCCAGAGAAGCUGUUACAGGCAGGAUGCUCUAACUGAAGAUAAAUGGGUAUCUACAAAAGAGAACAAGAAUUAGGACAUCAAUCAAUGAGGUAGGAGCUAGCUGGCUGGAGGUGUUACUCUGGUUGCUG
Molecule: long non-coding RNA, 162 nt
Organism: Talpa occidentalis (Iberian mole)
Lineage: Eukaryota; Metazoa; Chordata; Mammalia; Eulipotyphla; Talpidae
Exons: 3
Source: RefSeq, a predicted model, not a curated record